UGAGUAACCUGCCCUUAACUCUGGGAUAAGCCUGGGAAACUGGGUCUAAUACCGGAUAUGACUCCUCAUCGCAUGGUGGGGGGUGGAAAGCUUUAUUGUGGUUUGGAUGGACUCGCGGCCUAUCAGCUUGUUGGUGAGGUAAUGGCUCACCAAGGCGACGACGGGUAGCCGGCCUGAGAGGGUGACCGGCCACACUGGGACUGAGACACGGCCCAGACUCCGUACGGGAGCAG
Molecule: ribosomal RNA, 233 nt
Filed under: uncultured bacterium
Lineage: Bacteria
Description: partial 16S ribosomal RNA
Rfam family: Bacterial small subunit ribosomal RNA
Source: RNAcentral